RNAcentral lists this ribosomal RNA (254 nucleotides) under uncultured bacterium. Its description in RNAcentral is "partial 16S ribosomal RNA". It matches the Rfam family "Bacterial small subunit ribosomal RNA", at positions 524 to 776 of the family's 1533-position model. The record is from RNAcentral.
UACGUAGGGCGCAAGCGUUGUCCGGAAUUAUUGGGCGUAAAGAGCUCGUAGGCGGUCUGUCGCGUCCGUUGUGAAAACUCGAGGCUCAACCUCGGGCUUGCAGUGGAUACGGGCAGACUAGAGUGCGGUAGGGGAGACUGGAAUUCCUGGUGUAGCGGUGGAGUGCGCAGAUAUCAGGAGGAACACCGAUGGCGAAGGCAGGUCUCUGGGCCGCGAACUGACGCUGAGGAGCGAAAGCAUGGGGAGCGAACAGG